Long non-coding RNA from Amphimedon queenslandica, 408 nucleotides. RefSeq lists it as uncharacterized. The transcript has 2 exons. The record is from RefSeq and is a predicted model, not a curated record. NCBI's taxonomy places the organism in Eukaryota, Metazoa, Porifera, Demospongiae, Haplosclerida, Niphatidae.
UUUCAAUCUACAUGUGUUGAUGGGGGAAUUUUGCAAGUGAUCCUACUAAAAUUUGAGAGUACAUGUACAUGUAUGAUUUAAUAUAUAUUGUAUGAAUUGAUUAAAAUCUUUUGUGCUUUUUAUUUUUUUACAGAUCUUGAGAUGGCCAUUGCCUACUGGAAUCUUAUUUUUACUGGUCGCUUCAAAUUUUUGGACUUGUGGUAUGAAUUUUUAAGAUCUCAUUAUAAAAGAGCUGGCAAUACCCAAAGACACUUGGAACCUUCUGCUAGAGUUUUCUAACAGGAUUGAUGACACCAUGAGCAAUUAUGAUGAAGAUUGUAGGUCUAUACUGUAUUAAUUGUAAUGUCCUCCUCUUUAAAUAAUUUGUAUUUUGUACAGCACUUUAAUGUAUGGCAGCUUUAUUUCUUU